RNAcentral lists this ribosomal RNA (600 nucleotides) under Hepatozoon sp. Its description in RNAcentral is "bacterial SSU rRNA". It matches the Rfam family "Eukaryotic small subunit ribosomal RNA", at positions 320 to 913 of the family's 1831-position model. Lineage: Eukaryota; Apicomplexa; Hepatozoidae. The record is from RNAcentral.
UUUCGACGGUAUGGUAUUGGCUUACCGUGGCAGUGACGGUUAACGGGGGAUUAGGGUUCGAUUCCGGAGAGGGAGCCUGAGAAACGGCUACCACAUCUAAGGAAGGCAGCAGGCGCGCAAAUUACCCAAUUCUAACAGCAUAAGAGAGGUAGUGACAAGAAAUAACAAUACAAGGCAGUUAAAAUGUUUUGUAAUUGGAAUGAUAGAAAUUUAAACACUUUUUAAAGUAUCAAUUGGAGGGCAAGUCUGGUGCCAGCAGCCGCGGUAAUUCCAGCUCCAAUAGCGUAUAUUAAAAUUGUUGCAGUUAAAAAGCUCGUAGUUGAAUUUUUGCUUAAAAUAACUGGUCUGCUUUUAACAAAAGUGGUAUCUUGGUGUGUUUUUAGCAAUAUUGUCCUUUGAAAUGUGUUUUACUUUGCUGUAAAAGACAAUAUUCAGGAUUUUUACUUUGAGAAAAUUAGAGUGUUUCUAGCAGGCUAAUGCUUUGAAUACUGCAGCAUGGAAUAAUAAAAUAGGAAUUUGGUUCUACAUUAUUGGUUUUAAGAGCUGAAUUAAUGAUUGAUAGGAACAGUUGGGGGCAUUUGUAUUUAACUGUCAGAGGUG